UACGUAGGGGGCAAGCGUUGUCCGGAAUCAUUGGGCGUAAAGCGCGCGUAGGCGGCCCUGUAAGUUCGUUGUGAAAGUCAAAGGCUCAACCUUUGAAAGCCGAUGGAUACUGCAGGGCUAGAGUCCGGAAGAGGCGAGUGGAAUUCCUGGUGUAGCGGUGGAAUGCGCAGAUAUCAGGAGGAACACCAAUAGCGAAGGCAGCUCGCUGGGACGGUACUGACGCUAAGGCGCGAAAGCGUGGGGAGCGAACAGG
This 253-nucleotide ribosomal RNA is filed under the name uncultured bacterium. Its description in RNAcentral is "partial 16S ribosomal RNA". It matches the Rfam family "Bacterial small subunit ribosomal RNA", at positions 524 to 776 of the family's 1533-position model. The record is from RNAcentral.